UGGACAUCAUCACUUGUUUUUUCUUUCUUCUCUUUGCCUUAUUUAUAUGGAUGAUCUCAUUUCAUUCUUCUCCAGGACUCCAGGAUAUGAGAACUGUGUCUGCUCUUACUUUACAUAUUUGGGGACUUGAGGCAUAGGUUAUAUAGUAAGUGGCACCUCCAGAAUGAAAACUCAGGUUUUUUUUGUUUUUUUGGUUUUUUUGAGACAAAGUCUUGCUCUGUCGCCCAGGCCGGAGUGCAGAUCUUGGCUCACUGCAACCUCCACCUCCUGGGUUCAAGCAAUUUUGUUUCAACCUUAGUAGCUGGGACUACAGGCACCUGCCACCACACCCGACUAAUUUU
This 341-nucleotide long non-coding RNA is filed under the name Pan troglodytes (chimpanzee). RNAcentral's name for it is "long non-coding RNA NONPTRT016220". Lineage: Eukaryota; Metazoa; Chordata; Mammalia; Primates; Hominidae. The record is from RNAcentral.